This is a non-coding RNA of Paramuricea clavata, 656 nucleotides long. The record is from the annotation of a GenBank genome assembly. Lineage: Eukaryota; Metazoa; Cnidaria; Anthozoa; Malacalcyonacea; Plexauridae.
UGAAUAUAUUCCCCGAUAAGUACAAAGGAAACAGAGCAAUGUGAAAAAUAAGGACUUAUAUUUGACUUCGAAGUGACUAUUGGACUUAGAAAAUUAAUAGCUAUUCAUCAUAACUACGAGAAGUGACUUGAGAGUGGCCAUUCAUAUAUCAACACUGUAGAGUACAAGGUUAAAUUUUGAUGCAAUAGCCGACUAUGUGGAAUUGUGGAUCCAAAGAUAUCACCUCAGCCUGAAAAAUAUCCUUGAAGAGCGCAGAGCACAAAUGAAAGCCAGACUUAUGUACAAAGACUGAGUAACUUUAGCUCCCCAAAGACUGAGUAACUUUUUUCAGAAUUCAAGUACAAUGUAUGAUUAUGAUUUGAGAGGAUCUUCAACUAGACUUUGCCUUUCCAGGCCUAGAACAAAAUGUCUAAAAAAUAGUUUCAGUUACAAUGGGGCUCAUGUCUGGAAUCAAAUUCCGGAAGACAUAAGAUCUUCGGCAUCUUAUAAUUCGUUUUGUGAAAAGCUUUCUUCCGCUCGACUAUUUCAUUUAGCAAUUAUCAUGCUUAAAUUAUAGUAGUAAUUUUCUUAGAUUUCUUUACUAAUUUUUAGUAGUAUUAGUUAACAAAUUCAUAAUAUUUAUAUAAUUUAUGAAAUCAGUAAUGAACAUACAUCAU